UUGACAUCCAGAGAACUUGGCAGAGAUGCCUCGGUGCCUUCGGGAACUCUGAGACAGGUGCUGCAUGGCUGUCGUCAGCUCGUGUUGUGAAAUGUUGGGUUAAGUCCGCAACGAGCGCAACCCCUAUCCUUUGUUGCCAGCGAUUCGGUCGGGAACUCAAAGGAGACUGCCGGUGAUAAACCGGAGGAAGGUGGGGAUGACGUCAAGUCAUCAUGGCCCUUACGAGUAGGGCUACACACGUGCUACAAUGGCGUAUACAAAGAGAAGCGACCUCGCGAGAGCAAGCGGACCUCAUAAAGUACGUCGUAGUCCGGAUUGGAGUCUGCAACUCGACUCCAUGAAGUCGGAAUCGCUAGUAAUCGUAGAUCAGAAUGCUACGGUGAAUACGUUCCCGGGCCUUGUACACACCGCCCGUCACACCAUGGGAGUGGGUUGCAAAAGAAGUAGAUAGCUUAACCUUCGGGAGGGCGUUUACCACUUUGUGAUUCAUGACUGGGGUGAAGUCGUAACAAGGUAGGCGUAGCGAG
This 527-nucleotide ribosomal RNA is filed under the name uncultured bacterium. RNAcentral describes it as "bacterial SSU rRNA". It matches the Rfam family "Bacterial small subunit ribosomal RNA", at positions 981 to 1509 of the family's 1533-position model. The record is from RNAcentral.